GCCGCGGUCCGGCCACGGCUCUGCCCCUCCCCCCGCGCCGACGGCGGCGGGCUGGCCGCUUCCUCAGGCCCCCUUCCUCGUGUGAUCGGGAUCGUAGACGUGUGACAUGGACGUGUGAGGCGUGGGCGUCCAUUCGUCGGAGUCACUACAAAUGUUUUCAGAGUAUGUAGAAGGAGUCUCAGGACAUGGACCAACACUCAGAAGAAUGGUCCGCACCGAGACCCGCACGAUGACGACGUUCGAUGACGAGGGCCGACCGGUGACGUGCACGGUGACGGAGCGCACCACCACCGAGGCUGACGGCACCGAGAGUCGCCAGCUGGUGGAGACCGAAGACUAA
Long non-coding RNA from Pollicipes pollicipes, 340 nucleotides. RefSeq lists it as uncharacterized. Lineage: Eukaryota; Metazoa; Arthropoda; Thecostraca; Pollicipedomorpha; Pollicipedidae. The record is from RefSeq and is a predicted model, not a curated record. The transcript is spliced from 3 exons.